UUUCAUUUCAGUCCGCUUGGUUUCGUGGUUGAUAUCGUCUGCGACUCUGCAAGCAGCAAAGGCCCAAGCGAAGCAGCAAUAGCAGAAGAGAAAGAAGAAAGAGCCCACCAGCUAACAUGGCAAAGAAGACUCCAAAAAUCCAAGGAACGUCGCUUUUCUUCAGCUUCCUCUGCCUCUUCUAACGCCAUCAAAAAAAUCUCCGAGGGUUAAUUAUUCACACUUCUCUUCUUCCCCCAUUUCUAUUGGCAUUUAUCUUAUUUUCUCUUAUUUUUUUUCUCUUUCACAUUUGCUUUGUCGGUGGUCAUCAUUUUCUUCGCCUUUGGCUUCAUCAAAAAAAAUCCCAGAAAUAAAAAUUGAGAAUAAGAUAUACUAGAAGAAAAUUUUGCUAAUUUUGUGAUUUUUGCGGUUUUGGGUUGCUUGCUUUUGAAAAUCCAUUUUGAUUAUGAGAAAUAGUUGUUGUAGAUUGUAGGCAUAGUCGAGUAUGGCUUUUAAUUCUUUCUUACUUCGUUGCUGGGUUCCAAAUGCAAGUGAUGUCAACUUGAAGAUGGGUGUUUUCUGUUUGUUUUAAUAUACCACUUGGAUUGUUGGGUUCCAAGUGUUGCUAAUUAGAUGGAAUUUUCACAUUUUGGUUUCCUCUUACCAGUGAUAAGGAGAAGAGACCAAAGUCAGCAAUGAAGCCGACGAGGAGGCCAAAGAAGAAAAGUGUGAAAAUUGAUGCUAAAAGGCCUAAGAAGCCCCCGACUGCCUUCUUCUUCUUCCUGGAGGAUUUUCGUAAGGAUUUUCAAGAACAGAACCCAGAUGUAAAGUCAAUGCGUGAUAUUGGGAAGGCAUGUGGUGAGAAGUGGAAAACAAUGACUUAUGAGGUUUGUGUUCACUAUAUUUUUCCAAUACAUAUGCAUAUGCCUUUUUGAUGAGUGAAAUAACACUAAAGAGCACCAACAGGGUGGAGCCAAAGUAUGCUUUCCAACAAUUGCCAGGGUAUGAUUAAUUUCAUCUAGGCAAAGUUAUAUAUUAGUUGCAAUGGUUUGUCAGAGACUCUUAUACUCUGUUUGGAUGGGGGUUUUUGAAAGUAAACCAAGGUUUUAUAAGGUUUGGUAAUCAUGCCUCUUUGUUUGGGAGCAGGUACUAAUUAAAAAGUACGAUUUUUGAGGGUUUUUUAAAAGCUUUGAAACCACCCACUUCUCAACCCACCAAAUUUCGUGGGUUGAGGAGGCAAGGUUUUCCUUUUUAAUUGUAAUACCUUUUUUACCCAUAUUUUAUAACCUACUUUUUUUUUUCCAUUAUAUGGAUAUUUUUGUAACUUUAUGUUACAACCAAAGAAGAUAUGUAUACUUACCCACUAUUUACUAUGCCUUCUCCUCAAACAUAUCAAGGUUAAAUAUUUAACCUUACCUUCCUUAAAGUUACCCUACGUUCCUAUUUUGCCAAUCAAGAAUGUGAGUAUUAUGACUAACCUGAACCUUUUUAUAGUAUGGAAUGUCAUGGAUACAAAGAAAUCUGAGGUCUGUGUAUGACUGUGACUUGUAGAGAUCAUAAAUAAUGUUGAGACAUGCUGAAAUAUUGAAGAUUUUAAUUUGUGCGAGUUUAUCUGUUGAAAACGAAAAUUAUCAAAUACUUUGCAUCUAAGAAACAUAGGAUUUUAUUACUUACGACUUUAUUUUCUUCCUAUUUAGUAUCUACAGUAGUGUUCUUUUCCACAUAUGAAGGAUUUAUUUUAUGGCAUAUUUUUUGUUUUGGUCAUAGAAUAAAGGUUGUUUUGGAUCCUUAGUUCUGCCAAAGUAGAAAUACUAGCCCCAGUUGGGAGGAAAGAUAGAUCUGAAAACAAUGAGCACCUCGAGAACCCUACUGCCACAUCAAUGAACCUAUCCUUUUGCAACUUCAUCUUUACAGCCACAUCUGCCAAUCAGAAUAACCUUCUAACUGAAAUUUUCUGCCUGUGAUAGGAUAAGGUUAAAUAUUAUGACAUCGCAAUGGAGAAAAGAGCCGUGUUUGAUAAAGCCAUGGCAGAAUAUAUUAAGAAAAGGUCAAAAGGGUACACUUGACUUGCUAUGCAUCUUAUGCUUUUUACUGUGAAACUGGUUAUCUUUUUUAUGCCUAUUUAUCACAGUUGUAAUAUGAUCAAGUGACAUUUAUUGCAGGAAAAGGGUGAAAAUGAAGAAACUGAGGAUGACUCUGAGUUUGAUGAGUGAGGUUUUAGGAUUGUAGUAUUAGAUAGUCAUUGCUUCAGUAGGAGUAGGAGGUACACGAGGGUAAAAAUUGUACAUCAAUUUAUGAGCCACUUUGGUCUUCUCUUUAUUGAAGUUGUUUGUAUCAUCCUUGUGUAAUUGUGUAAAUUGCUACCAGGCAAUUGCAUCUAGGUGAUUACAGAGCAGAUUUGACGAUUAAUAUGAAUUAACGUUAAGUGAAUGUGAAAAAUAUAGUUUCUAUUGAGAAUUGUUAUUUGAGCUUG
This 2449-nucleotide unclassified non-coding RNA is filed under the name Hevea brasiliensis (rubber tree). Lineage: Eukaryota; Viridiplantae; Streptophyta; Magnoliopsida; Malpighiales; Euphorbiaceae. The record is from RNAcentral.